RNAcentral lists this non-coding RNA (133 nucleotides) under Absicoccus porci. RNAcentral's name for it is "glmS glucosamine-6-phosphate activated ribozyme". It matches the Rfam family "glmS glucosamine-6-phosphate activated ribozyme aptamer". From Rfam's summary of the family: This entry contains a glucosamine-6-phosphate activated ribozyme that is found in the mRNA for GlmS. GlmS is an enzyme that uses fructose-6-phosphate and glutamine to generate glucosamine-6-phosphate. Lineage: Bacteria; Bacillati; Bacillota; Erysipelotrichia; Erysipelotrichales; Erysipelotrichaceae. The record is from RNAcentral.
UAAAAGAGGAGCGCCCGGACUAGAAAACUAGUUGACGAGGACCAGGUUUAUCGAAAGAUUCGGCGGAUGGCCUGGAGGUUGAUACGACCUAGAAACAAGGACAAAACCAAGCGGUGACGUUUGAACAAAUUCC